CUGCCCANGCAGAGAGACCAGCGAAC
Molecule: ribosomal RNA, 26 nt
Filed under: Ficus tsiangii
Lineage: Eukaryota; Viridiplantae; Streptophyta; Magnoliopsida; Rosales; Moraceae
Description: partial 18S ribosomal RNA
Source: RNAcentral